RNAcentral lists this ribosomal RNA (502 nucleotides) under uncultured bacterium. RNAcentral's name for it is "bacterial SSU rRNA". It matches the Rfam family "Bacterial small subunit ribosomal RNA", at positions 28 to 516 of the family's 1533-position model. The record is from RNAcentral.
GAUGAACGCUAGCUACAGGCUUAACACAUGCAAGUCGAGGGGAAACGAUAGAGAAAGCUUGCUUUUUCUAGGCGUCGACCGGCGCACGGGUGAGUAACGCGUAUCCAACCUGCCCAUCACUUGGGGAUAACCUUGCGAAAGUAAGACUAAUACCCAAUGACGUCUCUAGAAGACAUCUGAAAGAGAUUAAAGAUUUAUCGGUGAUGGAUGGGGAUGCGUCUGAUUAGCUUGUUGGCGGGGUAACGGCCCACCAAGGCGACGAUCAGUAGGGGUUCUGAGAGGAAGGUCCCCCACAUUGGAACUGAGACACGGUCCAAACUCCUACGGGAGGCAGCAGUGAGGAAUAUUGGGUCAAUGGGCGAGAGCCUGAACCAGCCAAGUAGCGUGCAGGAUGACGGCCCUAUGGGUUGUAAACUGCUUUUAUAAGGGAAUAAACCCUCCCACGUGUGGGAGCUUGUAUGUACCUUAUGAAUAAGCAUCGGCUAACUCCGUGCCAGCAGCC